UCGGGAGGCAGCAGUGGGGAAUAUUGCACAAUGGGCGCAAGCCUGAUGCAGCCAUGCCGCGUGUAUGAAGGUCUUAGGAUUGUAAAAUUCUUUCACCGGGGACGAUAAUGACGGUACCCGGAGAAGAAGCCCCGGCUAACUUCGUGCCAGCAGCCGCGGUAAUACGAAGGGGGCUAGCGUUGCUCGGAAUUACUGGGCGUAAAGGGCGCGUAGGCGGAUCGUUAAGUCAGAGGUGAAAAUCCCAGGGCUCAACCCCUGGAACUGCCUUUUGAUACUGGCGAUCUUGAGUAUGAGAGAGGUAUGUGGAACUCCGAGUGUAGAGGUGAAAUUCGUAGAUAUUCGGAAGAACACCAGUGGCGAAGGCGACAUACUGGCUCAUUACUGACGCUGAGGCGCGAAAGCGUGGGGAGCAAACAGGAUUAGAUACC
This 428-nucleotide ribosomal RNA is filed under the name uncultured bacterium. RNAcentral describes it as "bacterial SSU rRNA". It matches the Rfam family "Bacterial small subunit ribosomal RNA", at positions 341 to 786 of the family's 1533-position model. The record is from RNAcentral.